UACGUAGGUGGCAAGCGUUGUUCGGAAUUAUUGGGCGUAAAGGGCGCGUAGGCGGCUCGUUAAGUCGGCUGUGAAAGCCCGGGGCUCAACCCCGGAGGGUCGGCCGAUACUGGCGGGCUAGAGUACGGAAGAGGUAGCUGGAAUUCCCGGUGUAGCAGUGAAAUGCGUAGAGAUCGGGAGGAACAUCUGUGGCGAAGGCGGCCACCUGGACCAGUACUGACGCUGAGGCACGAAAGCGUGGGGAGCAAACAGG
This 253-nucleotide ribosomal RNA is filed under the name uncultured prokaryote. Its description in RNAcentral is "partial 16S ribosomal RNA". It matches the Rfam family "Bacterial small subunit ribosomal RNA", at positions 524 to 776 of the family's 1533-position model. The record is from RNAcentral.